Molecule: ribosomal RNA, 429 nt
Filed under: Pseudomonas sp.
Lineage: Bacteria; Pseudomonadati; Pseudomonadota; Gammaproteobacteria; Pseudomonadales; Pseudomonadaceae
Also listed under: 1 other name
Description: partial 16S ribosomal RNA
Rfam family: Bacterial small subunit ribosomal RNA
Source: RNAcentral
UGGGGAAUUUUGGACAAUGGGCGCAAGCCUGAUCCAGCCAUUCCGCGUGAGUGAAGAAGGCCUUCGGGUUGUAAAGCUCUUUCGCAAGGGAAGAAAACUUACACAAUAACACUGUGUGAGGCUGACGGUACCUUGAUAAGAAGCACCGGCUAACUACGUGCCAGCAGCCGCGGUAAUACGUAGGGUGCGAGCGUUAAUCGGAAUUACUGGGCGUAAAGCGUGCGCAGGCGGUUUUGUAAGUCAGAUGUGAAAUCCCCGAGCUCAACUUGGGAACUGCGUUUGAAACUACAAGACUAGAAUAUGUCAGAGGGGGGUAGAAUUCCACGUGUAGCAGUGAAAUGCGUAGAGAUGUGGAGGAAUACCAAUGGCGAAGGCAGCCCCCUGGGAUAAUAUUGACGCUCAUGCACGAAAGCGUGGGGAGCAAACAGG